This 635-nucleotide ribosomal RNA is filed under the name uncultured bacterium. RNAcentral's name for it is "bacterial SSU rRNA". The stretch from base 1 to 540 matches the Rfam family "Bacterial small subunit ribosomal RNA", at positions 338 to 873 of the family's 1533-position model. The record is from RNAcentral.
CCUACGGGAGGCAGCAGUGGGGAAUUUUGGACAAUGGGCGCAAGCCUGAUCCAGCAAUGCCGCGUGAGUGAAGAAGGCCUUCGGGUUGUAAAGCUCUUUUGUCAGGGAAGAAACGGUGGGAGCUAAUAUCUUCUGCUAAUGACGGUACCUGAAGAAUAAGCACCGGCUAACUACGUGCCAGCAGCCGCGGUAAUACGUAGGGUGCAAGCGUUAAUCGGAAUUACUGGGCGUAAAGCGUGCGCAGGCGGUUGUGCAAGACAGAUGUGAAAUCCCCGGGCUCAACCUGGGAAUUGCAUUUGUGACUGCACGGCUAGAGUGUGUCAGAGGGGGGUAGAAUUCCACGUGUAGCAGUGAAAUGCGUAGAGAUGUGGAGGAAUACCGAUGGCGAAGGCAGCCCCCUGGGAUAACACUGACGCUCAUGUACGAAAGCGUGGGGAGCAAACAGGAUUAGAUACCCUGGUAGUCCACGCCCUAAACGAUGUCUACUAGUUGUCGGGUCUUAAUUGACUUGGUAACGCAGCUACGCGUGAGUAGACCGCCGNGGGAGGUACGGUCGCGAGAAGUUAAACGUUAACGAAACGUAGAGUUAGUACGGACGUUAGAGACGAGCCGACGGACGACGACGAGGGAGGAGG